This 3114-nucleotide ribosomal RNA is filed under the name Triticum aestivum (bread wheat). RNAcentral's name for it is "partial small subunit ribosomal RNA". The record is from RNAcentral. Lineage: Eukaryota; Viridiplantae; Streptophyta; Magnoliopsida; Poales; Poaceae.
AUGAAUGAACCCAUCGACUGGUCAGUCUAUGCCCAAGAUGUUGACGAAGCCACAGAGGGAAUAUUCAAAGUUAUUCAGCUCAAGUAUAACUGGAGGGUCAUAUGUUUUGAUAGUUGGAAUGGAUUUGGAGCAUCCGCUGUUCUUGGAUCAGUAGCUGCAGUGCUUCCAUCUAGGAGAACCACUCUGGAACCUCUUGACAAAAUAAUCUUUGUAGAUUGCUCAAAGUGGAAAAAUAGAAGAGGAGUGCAGAGGGCAAUUGCAGAGGAACUACAACUUGAUCGCUCUGUAAUGGCUAUUCUAGAUGAGCAAGAUGAAGAUGAUGAUUUUUGGGGACAUGGUGAAAGCUCGAGGAUUGAGAUAUAUAGUGUUAGUCAAGUAAUUCAUCGGAUCCUGAGGAAUGUCAAAUUUAUAAUGAUUUUUCUUAAUGGGAGUGAUGACGAAGUUGACGUAGGUCUCAUGGGUAUUCCUCUAGGAAGGUAUUAUGAAAACAGCAUGAUGAUAUGGGCCUUCAGCAGAAGCCGCCUGAUGAUGCUUGACGACCAUUCCGAGGUAGCAAAAAAGCUAAGAUAUACUCAGGUUUUCUGUCAUUGCUCUAUCAAAGACAUGAGAAGCUCUCAGUUUCGUGGACUGCUACAUCAAGAAGCUGCUACCAUCGUUGCUCGCAACCCAUGUAUGAUGGACAUUGACCCAACAAUUGUUGCAGAUUGCUGUCUCUAUGAGUUAUUCCUGCACUAUAAUUUCCACACCUUCAGUAAACUUGGUUGGGUUUCUCAUGCUUCCAACUAUUGGAUAUGCAACGCAACCAUACAAGGGGACAGAGCAAGGGAUAUCAGUAAUGCAUUGCAUCGAGAGAUAAAUUGGAAGUGUGACACUUUUCUGCUUGACCAUGUUCUUAAAAUGUUCAUGAAACAUUCGGAGCCUCCUUUUUUGGUAAUUAAAGAUGAUGAUGUCUAUGAAGAAGGCCCAUACAAUUGGAUUUCGGUCACGUCAAGAGAUGCAGAAGUACAUGGUAUGAAGACAAUACCUGCAACGGCAUCAUCUUUCUUCUUGGCAUUUGAAAUAUCCAAACACCCACCAGCUUUACCAGAUGGAUUUUUUGAUCAUUGCAGCAAGCUCGGCGUGCUGGUUCUCUACUGUUGUUCCUUCAGUUUUGCUUCACCUUCUUUCCUGGAGUGUCGUGGCCUAAGAUUCCUUGGACUGGACCAUUGUACAGAUGACAAAACUAUUGGAGGAGAGAAUCAUGCAGUUUGGUUAAGUCUGUAUAGCUUGUGGGUGCUGGACCUGCGUUACACCGAUUGGAAUGAAAUCUUAUCCAAGGAAAUGUUAAAUCUCAUGAAAAAUAUCAGAGAGUUAAAUAUAGAGGGAGUCAGGGGCUGGCAAUACACUACUGAGCUACAAGGGCGAUUACCUACCCUCCAGAGGCUCAGAAUAAUGAAACCGACGUGUCAAUGGGAGACCUCAGAGGAUGUCGAUAACUCCUUUACGGAUAAGAAAAGUAUAGAAAUACUUGACUUGUCUGGCAAUUGUGACAUGAAAAUUCUUCCACCAAGCCUAUCGAAGGCAACUAGCCUCCGGUUGCUUGUACUUGAUGGUUGUGAUGGACUAGAAAGCAUUGGUAGGCUCCCUCCCUCCCUUGAAUCAUUUAGCUUCAAUGGAUAUGGGCCAGCUUCUCAAUGGACAGAAACUGCUGAGCUACCUUCAAAACAAUUUCUUCCAUCCAGCAGAACAGAUAAUAAGGAUGUCAGAAUAUCCAAGAUCUCCUUAGCAGGCUGCACCCAGUUGGGGAAUUUGUACUUGUGUUGGCUACCCAACCUAGUGGAAUUGGACCUCUCUGGAACAUCAAUCAAGAUACUUGACUUCAAGACUAUGGUGGUGCAAAUCCCAAGGCUCAAGCGGCUGUUUCUAAUAGGAUGCAAGCACCUUCGUGCAAUAACCUUUUUGCACGAGAGUGUUCCUGACCUGGAGUUGCUGUGUGUAGACACACGAGCUGGAAUCGUGUGUCCUCUUCGGCCAUCCAUCAGCAAAAACAAACCUUUCAGGUUGCAGGUGCAUGGUGUUGUUGUAGAUGCAAGGCUUACUCACUCCUUGUCGAAUCUGAUCUUUAAUUAUAUACAAGGUGAUGUGCACUUUAAUAUCCAUGUCACAUCCUCACCUAUGUAUGACGGGGUUAUUCAAUUUGAAGCAACCAGCAAGGAUAUGAUUGGCCCCAGUGAUCAAGAGAGCCUGCAACUUAUUCCAACAGGCCGGUACAGUGAUGUCCUUGGGAUGGUUGGCGUUGUCCCAGUGCAGGCCUUUCCACAGCCUCCGACUACAAAGUUUGAUCGACAUGUAGAGAUUGCUGAUGGGAGCUUCUAUGUGGAGAGAGAACUUGACGAAGCACUAGGCGAACUGAUGGAAAAGCGUGCAGAAUCCCUGCAUGUGCAUGAUGUCUUGGUACAUGCUAUUCUGCCUAAAUACAGAUCGUGGAUGAAGCUUAGGUGGUGCUGCGUGGAGAGGUGCCCAAAAGUGGAUACUGUCUUCCCUGGGAAUCCAUACAGAUUUACUGCAUUGGAGACCUUCUGGGUGUCAGAUGUCCUAAUGGCCCGCUCGAUUUUUAGUAAAGGUUCACGCUUUAACCGAUAUGGUGAGAUUGGAUCCUUCAAAAAUUUACAGCACCUUCAGCUGCGUUCAUGCCCCAGCCUCCAGUUUGUGCUCCCUCUCUGGGUCUCCUCCUUCCCCAGCUUGGAGACCCUCCACAUCAUCCACUGCGGCGACCUCAACCACAUCUUCAUACUGGACGAAGAGUACCCUGAAGAAAUAACUAGCCACGGUGUACUAUUCCCGAAGCUGACCGCCAUCCACAUGCACGACCUACCGAAGCUGCAGGAGAUAUGCGAGGUCAAGAUGGUGGCCCCAAUGCUUGAGAGCCUCAAGAUCAGGGGAUGCUGGAGCCUGCGCCGGCUGCCAUCCGUGGGUGCCCGUGGCCAAGGCGAGAAGAAGCCGACGGUCGAGAUCGAGAAGGACGUGUGCGACGCUCUAGAGUGGGAUGCCGGUCACCACCCUGACCACUUCGAGGCACCGGUCCACUCGCGCUACUACAAGGAGAAGCUGCCCAGGGUCUCAGUGCUCAGGUGA